This 477-nucleotide ribosomal RNA is filed under the name uncultured organism. RNAcentral describes it as "partial 16S ribosomal RNA". It matches the Rfam family "Bacterial small subunit ribosomal RNA", at positions 332 to 800 of the family's 1533-position model. The record is from RNAcentral.
UACACUCCUGCGGGAGGCGGCAGUGGGGAAUUUUGGACAAUGGGCGAAAGCCUGAUCCAGCAAUGCCGCGUGUGUGAAGAAGGCCUUCGGGUUGUAAAGCACUUUUGUCCGGAAAGAAAUCCUUGGCUCUAAUACAGUCGGGGGAUGACGGUACCGGAAGAAUAAGCACCGGCUAACUACGUGCCAGCAGCCGCGGUAAUACGUAGGGUGCGAGCGUUAAUCGGAAUUACUGGGCGUAAAGCGUGCGCAGGCGGUUUGCUAAGACCGAUGUGAAAUCCCCGGGCUCAACCUGGGAACUGCAUUGGUGACUGGCAGGCUAGAGUAUGGCAGAGGGGGGUAGAAUUCCACGUGUAGCAGUGAAAUGCGUAGAGAUGUGGAGGAAUACCGAUGGCGAAGGCAGCCCCCUGGGCCAAUACUGACGCUCAUGCACGAAAGCGUGGGGAGCAAACAGGAUUAGAAACCCGUGUAGUCCCAUGA